This 71-nucleotide transfer RNA is filed under the name Candidatus Lloydbacteria bacterium RIFCSPHIGHO2_02_FULL_51_22. RNAcentral's name for it is "tRNA-Ala". It matches the Rfam family "tRNA". Rfam says of the family: Transfer RNA (tRNA) molecules are approximately 80 nucleotides in length. Their secondary structure includes four short double-helical elements and three loops (D, anti-codon, and T loops). Further hydrogen bonds mediate the characteristic L-shaped molecular structure. tRNAs have two regions of fundamental functional importance: the anti-codon, which is responsible for specific mRNA codon recognition, and the 3' end, to which the tRNAs corresponding amino acid is attached (by aminoacyl-tRNA synthetases). tRNAs cope with the degeneracy of the genetic code in two manners: having more than one tRNA (with a specific anti-codon) for a particular amino acid; and 'wobble' base-pairing, i.e. permitting non-standard base-pairing at the 3rd anti-codon position. RNAcentral also lists the same sequence under 2 other names. The record is from RNAcentral. Lineage: Bacteria; Candidatus Lloydiibacteriota.
GGGCCCAUAGUAAAGCGGUAUUACGCUGCCAUGGCAUGGCAGAGGUCGGGGUUCGACUCCCCGUGGGUCCA